RNAcentral lists this ribosomal RNA (320 nucleotides) under uncultured eukaryote. Its description in RNAcentral is "partial 18S ribosomal RNA". It matches the Rfam family "Eukaryotic small subunit ribosomal RNA", at positions 1470 to 1796 of the family's 1831-position model. The record is from RNAcentral.
CCCUUAGAUGUUCUGGGCUGCACGCGUGUUACAAUCGGGAGUACAACAAGAUUGCAAAUCCUAGUGGAUGAGUGGUUCUCCGAAAUUUUCUGAAGACUGGGAUAGUUGAUUGAAAUUAUUCAACUCAAACGAGGAAUUCCUUGUAAUUGUAAUUCAUUAUAUUGUAAUGAAUACGUCCCUGCCCUUUGUACACACCGCCCGUCGCUCCUACCGAUUGAACGAUCCGGUGAAUUAUUUGGAGUAGCUCUGGAAGUUGCAGAACUUCCUAUGUCACGAAAUUUUGUAAACCUUAUCGUUUAGAGGAAGGAAAAGUCGUAACA